Molecule: microRNA precursor, 111 nt
Filed under: Chlorocebus sabaeus (green monkey)
Lineage: Eukaryota; Metazoa; Chordata; Mammalia; Primates; Cercopithecidae
Description: miRNA (ENSCSAG00000022826.1)
Source: RNAcentral
UGAGGCAGGAGGAUCGCUUGAGCCCGGAAGGCGGAGGUUGCAGUGAGCCGAGAUUGCACCAUUGCACUCCAGCCUGGGUGACAGUGAGACCCCGUCUCAAAAAAAAAAAAA